UCUCCCCUCCCCGGCUCACCCCCGCCGCAUCGCCGCGCGCGUCGACGAGCCCGCAACCGUGCGACUCCGCCCGCCGACCACCGAAUCGGUCUCAUGAAUUGGCGGGGCUUGGGGCUACGACGAGCUGUGUGCGGCACGACUGACGGAGGCGGACGCAGCGAGCUUCCUGACCCGGGCGUGCGUGCUCGAUCCGGCCCCGUUCCGGUCGGAUCCGCGACGGUGCUCCUCUCCGGCGAGGUCGCAGGUUGAUCCGACGCGGGGCGGCUCGAUCUGCAAGCGGAGCAACUCCGCGCCAUGACCCGGUCUCACAGGCAUGGCCAGGGCGACGACUGCUCCCCGACGCCACCACCCUCCGCAAGGAGCGACGACAGCUCGAAGCUCUGCGGCACAGCGUGUGCCGAGCGACACGCAAUGGGGGCGCCGCUGCCUCAGCCACCGGUGUGUCCGACCACCCGUCCACGUCCUCACCGCUGUCGCCGGCCGGCCACACGACGUCGCUCGUCCCGCUGCUUCAGCAGGCCAAGAAACUGGAACGCCCCCCGCGCCUGGCAACCUCGGCAUCUCUAUCGACCGUCUCAGAAAGCGCUACCUCGCCCGGCUCCCGCAUAGCUGAUGCAAGCCAAGAAACAGGGAGUGCCGACAGUAGUACUCUGAAUCCAUCAAUGCAGCUGAAUCCAUAAUGCUAAUCAAGAGGUGGUUUUGGCCUAACUGGGAUGUGCUUGAGUCCCGCAUAGCCGUGGAGGAGGAAGCUGCUGCCCUUCUUGAGCAGUUUGCAAAGAUCCGCAGCGAGCAAAGAGGGCAGUGGAAGGCAGCAACCCAAUCCCAGGAGUUCCUUUGAACCCUUCAGCAUUAAUACAAUAAUGCUUACACAGAUCCUGAGAAGCAGGAUGCUAUAAAUGUAUUCUUGGGUCAUUUUCAGUCUCAACAAGGCAAACCUCCUAUUGUGGAAGUUGGACUGAGAUCAGCAUUACAAUGUUGGCCGCCAAGGAACUCUAUGUGAAGAAACUUGAAGAUCCGCAGUGAGCAAAGAGGGCAGUGGAAGGCAGCAACCCAAUCCCAGGAGUUCCUUUGAACCCUUCAGCGUUAAUACAAUAAUGCUUACACAGAUCCUGAGAAGCAGGAUGCUAUAAAUGUAUUCUUGGGUCAUUCCAGUCUCAACAAGGCAAACCUCCUAUUGUGGAAGUUGGACUGAGAUCAGCAUUACAAUGUUGGCCGCCAAGGAACUCUAUGUGAAGAAACUGGAAGAUCUGCAGUGAGCAAAGAGGGCAGUGGAAGGCAGCAACCCAAUCCCAGGAGUUCCUUUGAACCCUUCAGCGUUAAUACGAUAAUGUUUACACAGAUCCUGAGAAGCAGGAUGCUAUAAAUGUAUUCUUGGGUCAUUUCCAGUCUCAACAAGGCAAACCUCCUAUUGUGGAAGUUGGACUGAGAUCAGCAUUACAAUGUUGGCCGCCAAGGAACUCUAUGUGAAGAAACUGGAAGAUCUGAAGUGAGCAAAGAGGGCAGUGGAAGGCAGCAACCCAAUCCGAGGAGUUCCUUUGAACCCUUCAGCGUUAAAUACAAUAAUGCUUACACAGAUCCUGAGAAGCAGGAUGCUAUAAAUGUAUUCUUGGGUCAUUUCCAGUCUCAACAAGGCAAACCUCCUAUUGUGGAAGUUGGACUGAGAUCAACAUUACAAUGUUGGCCGCCAAGGAACUCUAUGUGAAGAAACUGGAAGGUACUGAUAUAAACUCUUCUACUAACAACAACAUUGCUUGAUAAGUUGUGUUGUGCCCCUUACUACCAUUCUCAUCAAUUAUAGAUUCGUGAUGGUCUGCUCGCUAUGAUUUAUGACCUCCACCUAUGUUAAAUAAUAUAUAGAUAUAGUUUUGAUAUAUUGUAUGGUGGUCCAGUUUUGUGGCCGCUUUGAGGCCGCAUCAUAAAUAUUUCUGUAUUAUAGAACACUUGAGUGGAGUCUAGUUUUACAAUGACGAAGUGACCAAGGCAGUGUGCAAUAUUUGUGCAGGAAAAACAAAGCCGAGUUUAGAUGUAGUAGAUGAUUGAUUACAAAACAACAAAAGAAUAAUAUACAUAAGCAAACCAGCAUAACGAAAAAUAA
Molecule: long non-coding RNA, 2095 nt
Organism: Triticum dicoccoides
Lineage: Eukaryota; Viridiplantae; Streptophyta; Magnoliopsida; Poales; Poaceae
Exons: 11
Source: RefSeq, a predicted model, not a curated record